Molecule: long non-coding RNA, 633 nt
Organism: Lolium rigidum
Lineage: Eukaryota; Viridiplantae; Streptophyta; Magnoliopsida; Poales; Poaceae
Exons: 2
Source: RefSeq, a predicted model, not a curated record
GCCGCUGGUUCACUGCUGUUUCGUUGGUCACACCUUCGCAAGAUGGUAGCGUCCGUUGGAUUUGUGAUUUCAGUGUUCUGUUUUUGCAGUAUUCGGUUAUGAACCUCACCAUGUUCUCCCCAUCCGCUUGGGUGGCCUGGACCUUGUUGGAUUUAUGCCACUGCCAAAGAUGAAGAUUCUUAGUAGUGCGAUGUGUUUAAGGUUCUUAAGUGCACUCUGGCUUUGUUGAUAGUCCAUGAAACAAUUCGUUACUGCGCCACAAGGACUAUUUGAAAGUACAAGACGAAAAACUGGAUAUGACAAACUAAAAUUAGGAGUUCUGUGAUGGCUGUUCCAAUAUCCAAUCAUAAGUUCUUGCAAGCUGCAUUCAGGGAGUACAAUAGCGGUCAAGCUGGAGUGUGUUUAUUUGAAGAGCCAUUACAGGGAUACAAGCAGCUUCGAGUAUGUGAAGUUCAAGGUUCAUGUUGGAGUGUGUUCAUUUGAAGAGCCAUCACAAGGAUACAAUAGUUUCGAAUAUGUCGUGUUCAAGCAGCUGGAAUGGAAUAUGCCCUCGUGACUGAACACAUAAGAUGUAAAAAUUGUAUAUUUGCUUGCUCAUAGAGUUUUCAGGAGUUCCUUUACUUAAAAUUUCAA